GAAAAGCGUAGUCGAUGGGAAACAGGUUAAUAUUCCUGUACUUCUGGUUACUGCGAUGGAGGGACGGAGAAGGCUAGGCCAGCUUGGCGUUGGUUGUCCAAGUUUAAGGUGGUAGGCUGAAAUCUUAGGUAAAUCCGGGGUUUCAAGGCCGAGAGCUGAUGACGAGUCGUCUUUUAGAUGACGAAGUGGUUGAUGCCAUGCUUCCAAGAAAAGCUUCUAAGCUUCAGGUAACCAGGAACCGUACCCCAAACCGACACAGGUGGUCGGGUAGAGAAUACUAAGGCGCUUGAGAGAACUCGGGUGAAGGAACUAGGCAAAAUGGCACCGUAACUUCGGGAGAAGGUGCGCCGGCUAGGGUGAAGGAUUUGCUCCGUAAGCUCUGGCUGGUCGAAGAUACCAGGCCGCUGCGACUGUUUAUUAAAAACACAGCACUCUGCAAACACGAAAGUGGACGUAUAGGGUGUGACGCCUCCCCGAUGCCGGAAGGUUAAUUGAUGGGGUUAGCGCAAGCGAAGCUCUUGAUCGAAGCCCCGGUAAACGGCGGCCGUAACAAUAACGGUCCUAAGGUAGCGAAAUUCCUUGUCGGGUAAGUUCCGACCUGCACGAAUGGCGUAACGAUGGCGGCGCUGUCUCCACCCGAGACUCAGUGAAAUUGAAAUCGCUGUGAAGAUGCAGUGUAUCCGCGGCUAGACGGAAAGACCCCGUGAACCUUUACUGUAGCUUUGCACUGGACUUUGAGCCUGCUUGUGUAGGAUAGGUGGGAGGCUUUGAAGCGUGGACGCCAGUUCGCGUGGAGCCAUCCUUGAAAUACCACCCUGGCAUGCUUGAGGUUCUAACUCUGGUCCGUAAUCCGGAUCGAGGACAGUGUAUGGUGGGCAGUUUGACUGGGGCGGUCUCCUCCUAAAGAGUAACGGAGGAGUACGAAGGUGCGCUCAGACCGGUCGGAAAUCGGUCGCAGAGUAUAAAGGCAAAAGCGCGCUUGACUGCGAGACAGACACGUCGAGCAGGUACGAAAGUAGGUCUUAGUGAUCCGGUGGUUCUGUAUGGAAGGGCCAUCGCUCAACGGAUAAAAGGUACUCCGGGGAUAACAGGCUGAUACCGCCCAAGAGUUCAUAUCGACGGCGGUGUUUGGCACCUCGAUGUCGGCUCAUCACAUCCUGGGGCUGAAGCCGGUCCCAAGGGUAUGGCUGUUCGCCAUUUAAAGUGGUACGCGAGCUGGGUUUAGAACGUCGUGAGACAGUUCGGUCCCUAUCUGCCGUGGACGUUUGAGAUUUGAGAGGGGCUGCUCCUAGUACGAGAGGACCGGAGUGGACGAACCUCUGGUGUUCCGGUUGUCACGCCAGUGGCAUUGCCGGGUAGCUAUGUUCGGAAAAGAUAACCGCUGAAAGCAUCUAAGCGGGAAACUUGCCUCAAGAUGAGAUCUCACUGGGAACUUGAUUCCCCUGAAGGGCCGUCGAAGACUACGACGUUGAUAGGCUGGGUGUGUAAGCGUUGUGAGGCGUUGAGCUAACCAGUACUAAUUGCCCGUGAGGCUUGAAC
This 1539-nucleotide ribosomal RNA is filed under the name metagenome. RNAcentral's name for it is "bacterial LSU rRNA". It matches the Rfam family "Bacterial large subunit ribosomal RNA", at positions 1404 to 2925 of the family's 2925-position model. The record is from RNAcentral.